Molecule: ribosomal RNA, 494 nt
Filed under: uncultured bacterium
Lineage: Bacteria
Description: partial 16S ribosomal RNA
Rfam family: Bacterial small subunit ribosomal RNA
Source: RNAcentral
GACGAACGCUGGCGGCGUGCUUAACACAUGCAAGUCGAACGGUGACGCGCCUUCCUCUUUGGCUGGUGUGGAUGAGGGGCGAACGGGUGAGUAACACGUGCGUAACCUGCCCUUUCCUUCUGGAUAACCUCAUGAAAGUGUGGCUAAUACGGGAUAUUCUGGGCCUGUGGCAUGAUGGGUCUUGGGGAGCUAUUGUUUCGGUGUGGGCUGGGCUCGCGGCCUAUCAGGUUGUUGGUGGGGUGAUGGCCUACCAAGGCGAUGAGGAGUAGCCGGCCUGAGAGGGUGGGCGGCCAUAGUAGUGAUGAGCCGUGGAGCCGACUACGACAGGCAGCAGCGGGGGAGAAUAGUGCACAGUGGGAAGAAGGCUGAAGCAGCGACGCGGCGUGGGGGAUGGAGUUCUUGGGGUUGUGAACCUCUUUCGGGAGUGAAGCGGGCCUGCCUAGUAUGUGGGUGGGUUGACGGUAGCUGGAUAAGAAGCGCCGGCUAACUACGUG